RNAcentral lists this ribosomal RNA (253 nucleotides) under uncultured bacterium. RNAcentral's name for it is "partial 16S ribosomal RNA". It matches the Rfam family "Bacterial small subunit ribosomal RNA", at positions 524 to 776 of the family's 1533-position model. The record is from RNAcentral.
CACGUAGGAGACGAGCGUUAUCCGGAUUUACUGGGUGUAAAGCGCGUGUAGGCGGCUGGGUAAGUUGGAUGUGAAAGCUCCUGGCUUAACUGGGAGAGGUCGUUCAAAACUGCCUGGCUAGAGUGCAGCAGAGGGGAGUGGAAUUCCGAGUGUAGCGGUAAAAUGCAUAGAUAUUCGGAAGAACACCAGUGGCGAAGGCGGCUCUCUGGGCUGCAACUGACGCUCAGACGCGAAAGCUAUGGUAGCGAACGGG